Molecule: non-coding RNA, 766 nt
Organism: Phoenix dactylifera (date palm)
Lineage: Eukaryota; Viridiplantae; Streptophyta; Magnoliopsida; Arecales; Arecaceae
Source: RefSeq, a predicted model, not a curated record
UGCAUCAUGUGCAUCAAGUUUGGGACAAGCAUUGUCAGCGACGGUUGACAACCUCAUUAGGGAGGGUCAGAAGCCAAAAGCUUCUGGAAGCAAAAGGAGAUUUAAAUAAAGCCCGUGAUAAACCCCCUAAUUGGAUCUCUUGAGAAAAUUGGAAUAAGCUAAUUGACAUUUGGAUCUUCCCAAAAUGGAAGAAGAAAUCAGAAGCCAACAAAAAUAAUAGAAACACCAUGAAGAAUGGUAGCAUCUCUAAACACUGUGGAGGAUCAAUCACAUUUAUCAAUCAUGACGAACGACUGAAAUUAAAGUUAGGUAGGGAGCCAACAAUAGUUGAAUCUUUUAAUCGGACGCAUAAGACAAAGCAAGGCAUGGAGGAUAUGUAGAUAAGAGAAGUAAAGCUGUCAUGGUAAGUAUAAUUUUUUUAUGAUUCAUAAAUAUUAUUGAGCUUGCUCAUGUUUAUCUCUUGUUUGAUCCACCAUAAUGUUUUUCUCUUCUUUUAAAUCAACUGACAGGCAAAGUAUUCAGCUGAAUACUCCAAAAAAUAUGGUGAUGCCUCCACCUCAGAUGCUCCUCCACGUGAUUAUGACUUGUGGUUUGAGGCAACUGGUGUCCCAACUCAUGGCCAUGUCUAUGGCUUUACUCCCCUAGAGGAUCUCAUUGGAAUUAUUGGGCAAUUAUCAUCCUCUUCCACCUCUACAAGUCAAGCUCUAGAGCUGUACACUCAUGAAGACCUUCUACGUAUUCUUGAGCAGGAAAAGAAAAAAUGGCA